GAUGAACGCUGGCGGCGUGCCUAAUACAUGCAAGUCGAGCGAACAGACGAGGAGCUUGCUCCUCUGACGUUAGCGGCGGACGGGUGAGUAACACGUGGAUAACCUACCUAUAAGACUGGGAUAACUUCGGGAAACCGGAGCUAAUACCGGAUAAUAUAUUGAACCGCAUGGUUCAAUAGUGAAAGACGGUUUUGCUGUCACUUAUAGAUGGAUCCGCGCCGCAUUAGCUAGUUGGUAAGGUAACGGCUUACCAAGGCAACGAUGCGUAGCCGACCUGAGAGGGUGAGCGGCCACACUGGAACUGAGACACGGUCCAGACUCCGACGGGAGGCAGCAGUAGGGAAUCUUCCGCAAUGGGCGAAAGCUUGACGGAGCAACGCCGCGUGAGUGAUGAAGGUCUUCGGAUCGUAAAACUCUGUUAUUAGGGAAGAACAAAUGUGUAAGUAACUAUGCACGUCUUGACGGUACCUAAUCAGAAAGCCACGGCUAACUACGUG
This 497-nucleotide ribosomal RNA is filed under the name uncultured bacterium. RNAcentral's name for it is "partial 16S ribosomal RNA". It matches the Rfam family "Bacterial small subunit ribosomal RNA", at positions 28 to 507 of the family's 1533-position model. The record is from RNAcentral.